RNAcentral lists this long non-coding RNA (653 nucleotides) under Equus caballus (horse). RNAcentral describes it as "lncRNA (ENSECAG00000053267.1)". The record is from RNAcentral. Lineage: Eukaryota; Metazoa; Chordata; Mammalia; Perissodactyla; Equidae.
CUGCCCUAGGGAAGUGUGCUUGAUAUAAUGCUGUUCUGUAGUGCAGGAAGAGAUAGCUUAAUUCACAGACCUUCAACAGCUCACAGAGAGAAUAUUCUAGAAAUCAAGCCACAUGUACAAAUAAAUGAAGAGGUCUCAGCUGCUACACACUGGCUAUCUCCAAACACUGAGGCACAGUUCCAGGGUUCAAUUCAAGGCUCAGGAGGAGAAGCCUCUUUGUUCUUGGUCAGAGCUGUCAGGGACCUGACACUAGACCUCUUAAUUCCCUGGGAGAUUGAGCCAGGCCUCAUGGAAGCGUCCACAGUCCUCUUAUUCUUGACUCAACCUCUCAGGCUGCUUUCCUGGCAUCCAGUUUACUUUCAUGGUAACUAUACACUCAACUCUUGUCAUCCUUCAAUGCAGAGUCUUAAGAUGCACUGGAAGUCUUGGGAGCUGUGAAAAUCCAGGGGAAAGGCAGCAGGCAGUUCCCUUGGAUAUAGGGGUGUAGAGCAUUACAGUCAUGCAUCUCAUGAUGAAAUUUCAGUCAACUACUGGCUGCAUAUAAGAUGCUGGUCCCAUAAGAUUAUAACCUUAACCUCAGUGUGGAUGAGAAUGACAUUGAGGAACUCCUAGACAUGGUUCCUGAGGAAGUGAGUAAUGCUGAGUUAAUGUAA